GUGUCAGCAGCCGCGGUAAUACAGAGGUCCCAAGCGUUGUUCGGAUUCACUGGGCGUAAAGGGUGCGUAGGUGGUCGGGUAAGUCUGAGGUGAAAUCUCCGAGCUCAACUCGGAAACUGCCUUGGAUACUAUCCGGCUUGAGGGUUGGAGGGGGGACUGGAAUUCUCGGUGUAGCAGUGAAAUGCGUAGAUAUCGAGAGGAACACCAGUGGCGAAGGCGAGUCCCUGGACAACUCCUGACGCUGAGGCACGAAAGCUAGGGGAGCAAACAGGAUUAGAAACCCUCGUAGUCC
RNAcentral lists this ribosomal RNA (292 nucleotides) under uncultured bacterium. RNAcentral describes it as "partial 16S ribosomal RNA". It matches the Rfam family "Bacterial small subunit ribosomal RNA", at positions 505 to 796 of the family's 1533-position model. The record is from RNAcentral.